GACGAACGCUGGCGGCGUGCCUAACACAUGCAAGUGGAGCGACGAACCAGGCUUCGGCCUGGGGCUAAGCCGCGAACGGGUGAGUAACACGUGGGCAACCUGCCCCGAUGACUGGGACAACCCGAGGAAACUCGGGCUAAUACCGGAUGUGCUCCGCCGGCUGAAGCCGGCGUGAGUAAAGGAAGCUUCGGCCUCCGCAUCGGGAGGGGCCCGCGGCCCAUUAGCUAGUUGGUGAGGUAACGGCUCACCAAGGCAACGAUGGGUAGCUGGUCUGAGAGGACGAUCAGCCACACUGGGACUGAGACACGGCCCAGACUCCUACGGGAGGCAGCAGUGGGGAAUCUUGCGCAAUGCGCGAAAGCGUGACGCAGCAACGCCGCGUGGGGGAAGAAGGCCUUCGGGUUGUAAACCCCUUUCAGGAGGGACGAAGGUGCGGCGGCGAACAGCUUGCCGUACUGACGGUACCUCCAGAAGAAGCCCCGGCUAACUACGUGCCAGCAGCCGCCGUAAUAC
This 513-nucleotide ribosomal RNA is filed under the name uncultured bacterium. RNAcentral describes it as "bacterial SSU rRNA". It matches the Rfam family "Bacterial small subunit ribosomal RNA", at positions 28 to 526 of the family's 1533-position model. The record is from RNAcentral.